GAAGUAAUCAAAUCAUAUCGCAAGCAUAAACAUGUAUUUCGAAUCCCCCCCUAGCCAAGGGGGGGGUUUAGUUCCUCAUACUCGCAAAGCAAAGAUACAUAAAUUUAGAAAUUAAAAUCAAAGGAAAAGAAACACCUAGAAAUUCCAGCGACGCGAACUUGAAUUGCAUGAACUUCCGAGCUUCCUUCUCCUCCUCCUUGGUGCGGCAAAGGGUCUAGGGACAAGUUUAGGACCUUAGGUGUAUGGAUGCAUGGUUAUGGAUGAAUGUAGUAGUGUUUAGGGGAUGGGGAUGGUGCGGCAAGGCUUAAAAACUAGGGAGAAAGGUGUUUGGUGGCUGCGGCAAAGGUGUGGAGAGGGUUGGACGAAUUUCUGGAGUGAAUUGUGAAUUGUGGUGAGUGGUGGUCUGAUUUAGGGGUUAAUAUGAGUAUAUAUAGGCACUUAAAACCCUAGGGUAAUCAGAUAUGGACUUGGAUAACCCAAAUCCACAAGGAAAUAGGUCUAAACAAUCAGAUUUUGCAAAGGAAAAGGGAUAAGGGUGCGGCAGCAAUGAGAUAAGGUGAUAAGGUUUCUAGAAUGCCUUGCAAGGCAAGGAAUUAGGGUAUCUAGAAGCUAGGGUGCGGCACCAAUGUAGGGAUUAAGGAUAGGGCUUCUAGAAAGCCCCAAAACUGAUAGGAAUUGCAUGAAACCCACGGCAAGGAUGGAAACUUUCUAGAAACUUCUCAUUUGUGUCCUACAACACUUAGGAGUCCUUCU
This 753-nucleotide long non-coding RNA is filed under the name Malus domestica (apple). RNAcentral's name for it is "long non-coding RNA (MDOM_LNC012685)". Lineage: Eukaryota; Viridiplantae; Streptophyta; Magnoliopsida; Rosales; Rosaceae. The record is from RNAcentral.